CCUGAUCCAUCAUCACAUAAUUAUUCGUAGGAAUUUCAUAUUCUAAUCUUAUCAAUGAAGGACUUGCUGUCUAGUCCCUUACUGUAGAAGUUGUCGUCGUAUUCUUGCUUUGUAAAGUUGCGAUAAAUUGCAGGUUUUUCAGGAGACAGCAACUCUGGUAGAGGUCCAUAAGAGUCGGACUCUUUCCAUUUCGCUAAACUGAAGAACAUCACAAUCGAGAUCCGUGGCUCUUUACAGGGGUUGGCUAUCACUCGAUGUUGUAUACUAUUGUACUCACCGUUCGACACUAUCUGCCAUGGUCCCAUACGAUCACCAGUUAGAAAUUAAAAACACAAACAAAUAUGAAUAAUGAUCAUGAGUUACCUGGAGAAAGUCGCCAGCGUUGAUAAUCAACCCACCAGGAACAGGCUUUACAUCCACCCAUUCAUCCCCAUGCCUCACCUGCAACCCAGGGACAUGGUUCUGCAACAAAACCGUCAGAACCGUCGGAUCCGUGUGAGAUGCAAGCCCCAUCGUCAGAUCAGGCUGUGGACAGUGGGGAUAGCAUACCCCCACAAAAAGCCUAGUAUCAGAAAAUGUCAACUCCUUAAACUUGCCGGGUUCUAACCCUAAUCCUUCGGAUAGCAAUUCCAUCAGAGUCUCAGCAACCUUUUUUGCAUGCGUGUCCCAUGCAAUCACCUCCCUCCUGCAUAUCUCCGGCAUCCGCUCAACCUCCGGCGGCUGUGGUGCCAUCCACACCUGAAGAUAGUCAUGCCAAGUCGCCGCCUCCGAUCGGUACAAAUCGUUGUUGCUGGUGUACACCACCCCGCGUCUCUCCUCACCCACGGAGAUCUUCGCCUUCACUUGAUGUGGCUGGUCGUGGAAAGACUUGACAGCGUUGACCGUCUCCUCCAGUACGGACAGGGCUACGCCGUGGUUGAUCACUUGAAAGAAACCCCAUGUCUUAGAGGCCUCUCGAAUUUGGUCCACGAUCUUGGGACGGUGAUGGGGAGAGUCCAAGUUGGAAAGAUCUAUUACCGGGAUGUGGAUGGAGGAGAAGGAAGAGGAAGAUGUGGGUUUGAGUUGGGAGAGAGUUUGGGGUGGGUGUAUGAAGAUACGAGGGAUGGAAGUGAUGCCAGAGUCAGAGAGACCUUUGACGCCUAUCUUGGACUCAGAGAACUCCUUCACUUCCUUCAUUCGGUCGUAAUCGGCGGAUGCCAUAGUCUUCAGUUUGGAUCUAUCUGCCUGCUGCCUACGGCCCUCACCAGAGUCACCACUCGAUCGCUUCUACACUUUUACCUCACUUAUGCACUACUUAGCCUUCAAUGUAGCCUAUUCUUAAACCUUCACAAUCUAUAUUUAUUAUAUUAAAUAUCGUAUUGUUUGAAUUAAUUUGUAUGGAAAAUUAUUAUUUAAAAUAAAUUGAUAAAGCAGAAAUAAUGUAGUUGACGACGUUGACAGAUGGACAAUUGUUCAACCAAUUGUCUGGAAAAUUAUUAUUUAAAAUAAAAGAAAUAAAUAGAUAAACCAGAAAAAAUGUAGUGGACGAUGUCGACAGAUCAGAUAAUUGUUCAGCCACUUUGAACUGGAGUCCCAGUCAUGCGACAUCUCAGCGGCUCCAAAUUCAAAACACCUACCUUAUCCACACGCGUUGCAGGUUUCUUCUUGUAGACACACCAAUGAUUUGACAAGUCUCCGCCAUUGCCCGUCAGCUAAUCAGUGAUGAAAUAACUUAAAAAGUUUAUCAAAAUGCUUAAAAACUUGGCUAUUAUAAUGGGUUAUGCCUACGCAUUAUCCUCUUAAUUUUUUUAUGCUUAUAUUGAAUGUAUAGGUAAUAAUUUCCUUUCAUAUUUAGCAGUACAUGUUUAUUUAAAUUGAUGACUUGUUCCAAAGUUUAGAAGCAAUAUAAUAAUAGAGUAAGGUUGAUCAUCAUUACAAUUUCACGAAGAAAUAUUCAAACUAUGAAGAUCGUGUGACUAAAAUAAAAUUAAUAUAAAAAUGAUGAAAUCAAUUUUUCAUUUUUAAAAAAAAUAAAUUAAGUUAUGCUAAAAAUAUUGUAAAAUGAAUUUUAUGUAUAUAAUUUUUUUUUAUUAAAGGGGCUACCUAUUCACCCCUCCAAAUAGUUAUAUAACUUGAGAUCACACCAAUCCUUAACAAUAAAUCAUUUUUAAUAAAAUAUGAAGGCCAAUAUUAUAAUAAAAUAAUAAAAUAUAUUUUUAUUAAAAAAAUUAUUUUAAUAUAUAUAUAUAUAAGUGAUAUUAAGGAGUAAAAGUGAAAAAUAUUAUUUAAAUAAUUUUUAUUUUUCUUUCUUUAUCUUUUAUCCUUUAUUGGAUAACGAAAAAUAAAAACAAAAUAAACAUUGUACAAUUAAAUUGAAAAUAUAAAUUCUUACUUUUGUUGAAUUUAUAAAAGUUGGAGAAUGAGAGAGUUUGUUCUUCUCUUAUGAUUUUUAUGAUUCUUUCCUUUUGAUGUCUCUCUUUAUUUCAUACCUCCCUUUUUAUACAAAAACUCUUUAUAAGAUGACAAUAAAAAUAUCAAUGUACGAGGCUUCUCAUAAGAUAUUAAAUGGGGCACGAUUAUUUUUUCAUAAAGGAAGUGAGGCAAUGGGAUUUGUAUGUUUAUGUGCAUAAUUUGACAUGGUGUAUGUAUUUACUUGCAUAGCACAAAUAUAUUUAUGAGUAUACUCUCUGUUUUUUUUUUCUCUCUAUUUUUUCUUUAUAUUUUCUUCUUUUGAUAUGAUUAAUUUUUUACAAAACUACUUUAAUAUGAUAGAUCAUUUAUAUCCACUUUAGAUUUUAUAGUUGAGAUUAUAGUUAUUGCUUUGAAGUCAUUCUAUUACAUUUUGUAAGUUCUGAUACCUUUCUUCGUCAAAGUUGUCUGAAAAGUACUCUACAUCAUCACUAAGAUAAAAAGAUUGAUUCUAGCUUUCUUCGUUUAAGUCAUUUCCCACUUCAGUUCUUAUUAAAGAACUAAUGGCUCUUUAUUAUGUUUUAUAUACAUACAAUGGAAAGUUGGUACCACUAACCCAUUGGUUUGAAAUAAAAGUAAAUGUUUUGAAAAGAAAUAUCAAGUUAUCAACUUGUUUUUCAGUUUUAAGUAGAUAGGUUAAAAUAUUUAUAAAUUUUUGAGGAAAAUUUUUAAGGAUUUGAGAUACUUGAUGAAAAUAUUUUUUAUAGAAUUUCCUAAUCGAUAAGCUAAGGUAAGAGAAAUAUUUUCUCUAAGGAAAUGAAAAAUAAAUUUUUAUUUGUUGCAGCAAGAUAAAAGAGAAAACAUAAAAUAGAAAACACUAAUUUUUUUUGUGCAAAGACCAAAUUUAUUUUAGAAAUUAAUAUAUUAAAGUAAAAAAUUUAAAACAUCACUUCACAUCAAGGUAAAUCCCUCUUUUUGGCUAAACUAAAGUCUCUCUAAACAAGUCAAUUUUUGAAAGAACAAAAAAAAAAAAAAAAAAAACCAAUGGUCAUAGGGUUAAAACUAAAAACUUUAGUUUUAAAAAUAAUUUUAAUAUUAUAAAAUCUACUAGAAUUUGAUAUUUGUUUAUAGCUCUUAAUUUUUUACGUUGAAUAUAUAACUAUUAUAUAUAUAUAACAUACUGUAAACCUCAAAAUUUGUCCCAAUUUGAUCUUUACAUUAAUUUUGAGUUCAAUUUUAAAUAUCGAUUACAUGUGUUAUUUUAGAUCCACCCUUUAAUUUUUAGUUUUCAUUAUUUUAUAAAUUAUUUUUUUAUUUAUUAAUUUUAUUUGUUAUCAUUAUUAUUAUUUUUAUUUUUUUUUCUUAUCUCUCUUCUUUUCUCCUCCAUCUACCCUCACCCACCCACUUCUUCUCUCUCCUCCCAUACUCCUCACCACCAGCCACUUUUCAUUUCUCCCUCAAAUUUUUUUCCCUCCCACUCUUCUCUCUCUUCCCCAAGACUUCCUUUCACCGGCCCCCCCUCCCUCCAUUUUUUCCCCUCAUUUUUUUCUCUCCUCUCUUCUCUCUCCUCCGACCUCUCUCCUCCAAUUGGGAAGACAACCAACCCCCGGAAUUUUUUUUGGGAGAGCUCCCAGGCUUUUCUCCAUUUUUUUCCCUUCCCUCACCGUUCACUGGAUCUCCGCAUUUCCUCCCUCCCAUUUUUUUUUUUCUCUUCUCUCCCCCAUCGGCACACUCGGGUGAUCCCCCGACUUUUUUUUUUCAUUUAUUUAUUUACUAUUAUUAUUAUUUUCUCUUUCCCUCCUUGAACUCUCACACUGCCGGCGGCGUGACGCCAGUGCCUUUUCCGGCACCCCCUUCAUCCCCAUUUUCUCCCAUUUUAUUUAUUUAUUUAUUUAUUUUAUUUUUAUUCUAUAUUUUUUUUAUUUCCAAAAAGCUAUCCACUGCCGCCGGCAAGGUCACCGGCCGGUCACCGCGGGCGAGUCCCCUGGGCCUGCGACCUCCUCCCUUUUUCUCUUUCUCUCACUUCCCCGUAUCACUCAUUUUCCAUUAUUAUUAUUAUUAUUAUUAUUAUUAUUAUUAUUGUUAUUUUAUCUUAUUUUAAUAAUAAUAGUUGUUUGUGAAAUUUGGAUUGUUGAAUUAAUUUGAAAUUUGUAAAUUUGGGUUUAUGGGCAUAUUGCAUGAUUAAUUUGGGAUAUUUGGAUUAUAUCACUUGCAUAUUGUUUACUUGGAUUUGGGCCUAUUGUUAAGUUGUUAAUUGUUUGAACUUAUUGGAUUGAGCUUGAAAUAUUAUUUCACAUAACCAUGUAUAUUUUAUGUGGACUUGUUAAUUGAUGUGAAUUUUGGGAUCCAUAAUGUGGGUGAGAUUUGUUAGAUUAUUUGAAUAUUUGUUAUGGGUUUGAUCAUCGUGAAUUAUUUAAUUUGGACAUGAAACAAUUGUGGUGUAUAUUAAAUUAAGCUUGCAUUAUGGAAUAUUAAAUUUAAGACUAGUAGAAUUUAUUUUAAUUUAUCCAAUUUUAGAUUUGGUUGAUUGUGUUUGUAUUUUUAGUUAUUAAUUUGGAUGUUCUGGGUUAAAACCUAUAGUAAUUUGGGCUUAUUUUAAUUGGCAAAAUUUAUGGGACUAAUUUGAAAUUGGAAUUUGGGUUUGAAUAUUUGUUUGAGGUUUUGUACAUCUUUGGAUAUUUACAUUUAUGUUAUUCUUGUUUUUGCAUGGACCUACUCUACAACCUUGUUGGCCGAGUACAAAUUGAUCACACGUGGAGUUUAUUGUAAGUUUAUUUGAGUACAUAUUUUAUUUCCUACUUUUAUUUGAUUUUAUUUUUAUUAGUUCUUGUAAAUAUUUGUUCGUAUAUAUUUAUUGAGUAUGCGAGAAUUGAACAUUGAACAAACUAGAAUUUUUUUUAAAUGAGAGGACAAAGUUGUUUUAAUAAAACAAUAAUUUUAAAAUAUUAUUUUAAUAAAAAAAAGUUUAUAUAUAAAAAUUCAAAAAAAUGCAUUUAGAAAAAUCCAAAAGAAAUGUUUUUAAUGGAAUUUGAAAAUUUGUUUUUAAAUAAUAUUCGUCUAAAAAUUUCUUUGUUUAAUAAAAAUUGUCAAAAUAUUGUUUUGUAAAUAAAGUUGUCCCAAAAUUUAAUUUUUAAUAAAAUUGUCUAAAAAUAUUUUUUUCAAAUGAAUUCUUUUUCUUUAAUUAAAAUGGGAUCAAAAGUGAUAGAUGAUUUAAAUCUUUGUUUUUUUUUCUUUUUUUAAUUAAAAUUUCUUUUGCAAUAAAGUUAUGUCAUUUUAAAUAAUUUGUAAAAAUCACUUUUUUUAAAUGAAAAUGAAUUUAAAUACUUUUGUAAAUAAAAUUGUAAAAAUUCAUUAUUUUUUAGUAAAAAUAAUUUUUGUGUCCAAAUUGAAAUUUUGUAAUAAAUUAUUUUGAUACAAUAAGUGUAAAUAGUUUUUUUUUAAAAAUUAAAUACAAAUGAAAUUGAGAAAAUAAACUGAUUUUUUUUUGUAAGUAAAUAAAUUGCAAUCAUUAAUUCAAAAUCAUUUUUAAUAAAAUCCUUUGAAAUUUCUUUAAAACUUUUUAUUUAAUUUAAUAAAUCAUUUUGCAUAAUUCUCUUAUCAUUUAUUUUGUAUAUUCUUGUAAUUAGAUUUCAUCAUCAUUUUUGUGUAUAUUAAUUUUCACCCUGACUUGUACAUUGAUUAUUUUUCUUGGUAUCCAUAAUUAAUUAAUUAAUUGUCAUAAUUUCUUCAAUUCGUUUAGUAGAGACCGUAUGUAUACAGGUUUAGGGGGGUGUUACGGUUCAUCACCGUACCUUUCCAAUAAGUAACUUGACCCUCGAACCCAACUUCGGUUUUUCACGGACCUGUUUUUUUUCCUUUAGGAGUCAAAUUUAGAGUUUUUCUUUUUUAUUUUGUUUUUCCCUUAAAAAAUAAAACAAAAAAAAGUGGGACUCCAAGUCUUUUUUUAAAAAUCAAAUUUUCACCAAAUAAAUAGAAAGCGAUUAUCGCCAUCAAGUGGGAAUGCAUUGAGAAAAAAUACGAGGUCCACACAUACUUUUUUAUUUAAAUUGAUGUCAUGUUCCAAAGUUUAGAAGUAUUAUAUUAAUAGAGUAAAAUUGAGCAUUACAAUUUCACAAAGGAAUAUUGAAACUAUGAAGAUUGUGUGAUUAAAAUAAAAAUAAUAUAAAAUAUUAAUAUAAAAAAUUAUAAAAUCAAUUUUUUAUUUAAAAGGAAAAUAAAUAAAGUUAAUCUAAAAAUAUUAUAAAAUGAAUUAAAUUUUUUGAAAUAAUUUUCAUAUAUAAUCACUUUUUAUUAAAGGGGACUAUCUAGUCACCUCUCUAGAUAGUUCAAUAAAAUAAUUUUCAUAUAUAUAUAUAUAUAUAUAUAUAUGAAAAUAAUUAUGUUUAGUCACGUUAUAUUUAAAAUGAAUAUAAAAGUAAGCAAAAUUUAUUUAUUUUUUAAUUGUAAAUGAUUAAAAAAAAUUAUAUGUAUAUAUUUAAUACUCAAUUAAGAAUAGAAUAUUUUAAACUAAUUUUGAUUUAAUUUUAAUUUUUAAAAUUUCAAAUUAUUCUUAGAAAUUGAUAAAUUUAUUGAAAAAUAUAAAAUCAUGAAGCUUAUUUUGCUCUCAUUUGAUUUAGAAUUUAUUUGUUGGUGAUAACAUUUGAAAAAAAAAAUGGCCAGGUAGAAGAAAUGGUAGAGUCCAUAAUUCAAUUUAGAUUAGUUGUAUUAUUGAUUCUAUUUUUGAGUUACAAAUUAUUUUUAAAAAUUACUAAUCUCAUUAAUAUAUUCAAAUAUAGCUUCAUUUGGAGAUAUUUUUGGAAUAAGAAAAUUCAUAAAAAGUAUAGUUACGUGUAGAUCAUUCUAUAUUAGUUUUAGCAUGUGAGUUUUAAUUAGUGUUGAUUGAACUUUUUGUUUUUAAUACUUUUUAAAUUUUAAAAUUGGAAAAGUGGCGUACAGUGCGCAUAUGGCCAUACAAUAUGCAGUGGAAAUUAAUGGCCAUGACGUAGGACGGCAGGAGGAGGAGGCACCAUUGGCACAAGGAAAGGGCCAGAGGCUUUUGGAAUCUCGGCACUGGGCUUUAUGAAUAACGUACUCUCAUUUUACAACUUUUUUUUGUUUUGUUUUUUUUUGUUUUUUUUAAAAAAAGAUUAUAUUUAAAAGUAAAGUCAUAAUUUUAAUAUUGUAAAAUUUAUUAAACUUAAAGUAAGUUAAGAAAAAAAAAUUCAAAAGAUAAGUACUUUUAUGUUCUUUUAAGUCCUAAAUUCUUUUAAGAAAAUUAUCUAAAUAUCUUUGCCAACAACGGGUCAUCUGGAAACCAACAACAUUUUCACAUAAUGGACUCUGCACUUCAAAGUCAGACAAUAGUUUCAGAUUUAAUUAGAAUAAAGGGAGAAUUGUGUUUUAGGCUCAGUUGGAUUCAAAAAUUAACAUUUGGUCUAUAUAACUUCCAUAAUUGAUGAAAAUGAUAUAAGAUGUUAAAAGACCAAUAUAUUCUUCAAAUUUCUAUACAUUACUUUUUAAGGAUAUAAAAUACUGAUGAACUAAAAUACCUAAUGAUCUUUUACAUAAGCUUUUUUUGUCUUUAUUGUACCACUAUUCAUGCAACCAUAAUAAUUCUAUUUUAACAAUUUGGAUUUUUCAUUAUUUUUAAUUUUUUUUAAUAAAUAAUUGAAAAUCAACAUUAUUUUCUAUUUUAAAUUAUAAAUAAAGAAAAAUUAUGUUCAAAAACUAUUUAAAAAAAUACUUUCUAAAAAAUAGUAAUAUGAUUUAUAUUUUUUAUAUUUUCUUUUUUUUAAAACAUUUAAUUAAAAAAUGAAAACUAUUUUUAAAAAUAAAAAUUGAAAACCUUGUUUAGUAUUAUUUUUUAUAUGAAAAUAAUAAAAAGAAUUAAAUUUAAUUAAUUGAUUAUCCAUUUUUAUUUUUUUCCAUUAGUUAUUUUAAUAAUAAAAAAAAUAUAGUAUGUUUACAAUUAAACAAAGAAAUUGAUCAAUUAUGUGUUUUUUGUGGGACUACUUUUACAUAAAAAAUAAUUAAAUAACUAAAUUAUAUAUAUUUAUUACUCUUUUUAAUUUUAUUUUCUUUAUUUAUUUUUUGUCUAAUAAAUUUUUUUCAUAUAUCCAUAAUUAACAAAAUAAUAAAUCAAUUGUGCACAUUUUAAUCUAUUAAAAUAAAUUAUUUCUAAUUUAAAUAAAUAAAAUGAAAUAAGUAAAUAAAUUUUGAGUUAUUUCUAUUUUUUAACAUAUCUUAUAUCAACAUUUUUAAUGAUUAAAUAAAUUUUUUAUUUUUUAUUUCUUUAAUUCCAAAAAUAAAAUGAAAUAAAUAAAUAAAUUUGGAAUUUUCUAACUGAUCUUAUAUUCAUAUUUCUCAUGGUUAAAUAAAUUUUUUAAUCUUUUUUCUUUAUUUUCAAAAAUAAAAGGAAAUAAAUAAAUAAACUUGGCUUAAAUAAUAGUUUUUAAGUAAUUUCUUUGUCUUAUUUUUAAUUACAUUUUGCAUUGAAAAUAAAAUAAAAUAACGUUUUAUUUGAGUCACUGUACAAGGUAUUUAAACUAAGUGUACAUUACAAAUAUACUAACUGUACAAGGGUAUACAAGACUAUUAUUUGUAAAAGAUUUUAAGUGAUUCUGAAAAACUUGUUUGUUUAUUUCUCCUAACCGAAGAUAAAUGACAUUUCUUACACACAUUGGUUAAGCAUACAUUCAUCUCAUACACUUUAUCUAACUUGUAUAUGGUCAUUUGAAUAAGCACCUCACUUAUGAUGAUUGUAAAACAAAAUUAUACAACAAUUUUUCUUCUUUUUUAAAACCAAACCAAUGCAAACAUGGUUAACCGAUCUAUUGUCAAAUAUUCAUGAGAUGAUGUAUGAAAUUUGAGUUAUUGUACAAGGGUAUUACACUAACUGUACAAAGACAAAUUUACUAAUUAUACAAGGGUGUACAAUACUACUUUUUGUUAAGGAUUUCAAGUGAUUUUGAAAAACUUUCCCAUUUUUUUCCACUCAAAUAUUUUUUCCCCACUCAAGAAUUGUUUCGAAUUUUAUUUUUAAAUUUCAUCAUCAAAUUUUUGCAAUUGCAUAUUUUGUUUUUGUAGUUUUAGCAAUGUUAUUUCUUUCUACUAUUUUUUUUUUUUUUUUUGUGAAAUUUUAUCCAAAUGAAUCUAUAUUUAAAAUUAUAAUCAUAUUUAUCAAAUUUUUUACUAAGAUUAUCUUUAAUUCUUUUAAUAUAUUUAUACUCAUUUAUUUAAAAAAUGAAAAACUAAUUUUUUUUUCUAAAUAUGUUCUAUUACCUUUCAAGUAAAAAAAAUUAGAUAAGUUUGAAAGUCAAUAAAAAAAAUUAAAUACCACUUUCAAUAAUUUUUAGAUAAAAAUUUAUAUUAAAUAUUUUAUUUGAAAUUUAAUUUCUAAAGUUUUACUAAAAAAUUGUACUGACAAUUUUCUUGUUAUGAAUCAAAAUAUUUUGCAUUAGUCUAUCUAGAUAAGAAAAAUUAUUAAUAUAAUGUUAGAGAAAAAUAUAAAUGAAAGGGUAAUAUAAAUUUAAAAUAAAAAUUUAAAAAUUAAACUAAAAGAUAAAUACAAAAAGAUAAAAAAUAUUUGGAUGAAAAAUCUCAAAAUUUUUAUCAUUGCUUAUAAUAAGAGCAAAAAGAUUCAAUAUCUUUAAAAAUGAAAAACAAAAAAACAUUAUUGCUUUUUAUUUGAUAUAAAAUAGAAAUAUAGAUUGGAAGAAAAAAAAAAGUUAGAAAUGAGUAAUACUUAAAAAGGAAUAGAAAAGGGAAAAAAACAUAAAAAAAAAAAUUGAAAUUCACACUCACUUAUACCUAUGUAAGAGUUAAGGGUAUUUUAGGGAUUAAUGAAGGAUAAUAUCCUUCAUCUUAAUUUUUAUACUUUGUUUGGGUCUUGGACUUAAACAUGCAUGAUAUAUGAACCAAAUGUUAAUUUUUGGGUCCAGUUGGGCCCAAAACACAAUUUUUCCUAGAAUAAAAGGGUUUGGAUUGAAGUGUGGGUUCGAGUUCAGUUUUCCUUCUAGCUAAGACGUCACUUCAAUCCGUAGUUUAAAGUAUAAUGUAAUUUUCCUUUUUUUUUUUUGUCUUUUGCUUUAGUGGCUGACAGUGGUGGAGGCAAGGAGUGCCUAGAGAGGGCAUUUGGCAAAUUCCUGCUAAAAAUACAAUAGGUUGUCGGAAUUAAACCCAUAAUCUUAAGUUUUCUAAUAAUUAGUUUCCUUAUCAUUAAAUUAUAUUAGAAGUAUGAUGCUAUUAUUAUGGGACCCUUUAAGCAAGGUCGUCCAUCAUUCAUUCGCACUUGCAACUGUAUAGUGGAAAUACAUUUGCGAUCGUCUGCCUGAAGGGUCCUGAGGCCCUGUGGAUGACCCAUCUAUCCCAGAACUAAAAUGAAGAUAAACGAUCCUUAAACGGAAAUAACACAAAUGGUAUUUGACUAACCUUCAUGCAUUUACUCACCUUCAAACGUAGAUUGUGUACAAAACACUUUCCAUAAUUAUGCAUUAGUAGUCAAUGCUGUAAUAUUGCAUAAUCAAGAAUAAUUAAAUUGUUAUUAAUACGUCUUAAAAGGCGUUAUGAGUAAGGAUAAAUAGUUAUGCAUACGCACAAUCCAAGAAAGGUAUGUUAUUUUUUUCUUUCGAUAAACAGUAUUUACUUGCUCAAGCCAAUUACUGACUUAAAUCUAUUCAGACAUUCUUUUUGUGCAACCAUCUGCAUCUUGAGCAACUUAGAUGGAGAAACAUAGUUGAUCGUUCCAUGUAGCCCUUGAGAGCUAGACGGCCACCUCGAAUUGGACCGUGCACCAACAAUUAUGCCCCUAAAAUAAGUUUCAUAUAAUUCCCCUCCACCACUUUCUUGGCUUGUGGGCAGAGCCAAAGAGUAGCUAGAGGCUUGCGCCCUGAAAUUUUAUUAAAAACCUUUGUGGUUAGUGGGCGGAGCCAAGGUACUCCUCCCGAAAUUUUGUUUUAUUAAAAACCUUUUUGGUUGGUGGACGGAGCAAGGUACUCCUCCCGAAAUUUUAAAAAUAUAGUAGGUAGUGGGAAAACCACUUUUCUGGCUACGCCCCUAGUAACAGACGUGGUUUAAAGCAUAAUUUUACAAGACAAAGAAAAACGCAUCCCAUAGUUGGAGACGAUCUCCAAGCUCAUAAAUUUUUUUUUCCACAAUUACAAUGUGAAAACCCACAUGACAGCAAGACCAAAUCUAUUACCACAUAAUGAUAGUAAUUUUAUAUUGUAAUCUUAUCGAUGAAGGACUUGCUGUCUAGUCCCUUGCAAUAGAAGUUGUCGUUGUAUUCUUUCUGUGUCAAAUUGCUAUAAAUUGCAGGUUUUUCAGGAGAAAGCAACUCUGGUAGAGGUCCAUAAGAGUCAGAGUCUUUCCAUUUCGCUAAGUUGAAGAACAUCACAAUCGAGAUCCGUGGCUCUUUACAGGGGUUGGCUAUCACUCGAUUUUAUUUAUAUCUCAUUAUUAUAUAAAAUAAGGUUUGUUCUCUUUGAAGAGAAAAGUUUAGAAAUGACAAACUAAAACUUCAUUCCACUGCAUCACAAUAAAUCAAAAUAUACUUCUGAUUUAUUUUUCUUGAUGAUUUAAAAUUAUCUUGAUUCUAAGUUAAAAUAUAUGAUUUUGAUUUUAGGUUAUAAUAUACGGCCCUCACCAGAGUCACCACUCGAUCGCUUCUACACUUUUACCUCACUUAUGCACUACUUAGCCUUCAAUGUAGCCUAUUCUUAAACCUUCACAAUCUAUAUUUAUUUUAUUAAAUAUCGUAUUGUUUGAAUUAAUUUGUAUGGAAAUUUAUUAUUUAAAAUAAAAGAAAAAAUUGUGGUUGACGAUGUUGACAGAUCUGAAUAUUGUUCAAUCACUUUGAACUGGAGUCCCCGUCAUGCGACAUCUCACCGGCUCCAAAUUAAAAACACCCUACCUUAUCCGCAUGCGUUGCAGGUUUCUUCCACCUAUAGAUGUUCUUCUAGACACUCCAAUGAUCUGACAAAUCUCCAACAUUGCCCGUGAGCUAAUCAGUGAUGAAGUAACAUAAAAAGUUCAUAAAAAGGCAGGUUUCUUCCACCUAUAGAUGUUCUUCUAGACACUCCAAUUUGAUUUGACAAAUCUCCAACAUUGCCCGUGAGCUAAUCAAUGAUGAAAUAGCUUAAAAAGUUUAUAAAAAUGCUCAAAACACCUUUGUUGGGAAAUUAUUACAUUGUGUCCACAUAGCUUGAUUAAUUGUAAAUGAUUAACUAUAAUUUAAGUGAUUAGAUAAGUUUUCAUUUAUUUAUUUAUUCUGCACAUGCAUCUCAUUAAGUGUGAUGAUUAGAUAAGUUUUUAUUUAUUUAUUUAUUCGGCUUACACAUGCAUCUUAUUAAGUAUGUGUUUUAAUAUAUAAAGAUCACCUUAUUUUAUUUUAUUUUAUUUUUAUGAUAAAUCAAAAAUAAAAUAAAAAAAUAUGAAUAAGUUGAAAUCUUCGGCCUAAACAGAUAAAAGAUUUUAUUUAUAUCUCAUUAUUAUAUAAAAUAAGGUUUUUUCUCUUUGAAGAGAAAAGUUUAGAAAUGACAAACUAAAACUUCGCAUCACAAUAAAUCAAAAUAUUAUAAUAAAAUAAUACUUUUUUUUUCUUCUCUUUUCUUUCUUUCUAUGUUUUCCUUCUCUAUUUUCUUUUUUUUUUUUGACAUUUUCUUUCAAUUUUUUGAAACAAAAAAAAAUGAAAGAAAAAUUUUAAAAUAAUAAAUUAUUAGUAUUUGUUAUUUCAAAUUUAUUUAAUUACUUUAAUUUUUUAUAAAAUAAAAUAAAAUGAAAAAUUAUUAACUAAUUUGAACUAUAUUUGAUUUUUUUUAUGAUAAAAUAAAAGAUUGGAAAAAACAGCUUUCUUAACAUUAUUUUUUAGUACAUUUUGGAAACCAAAAGUAGCCUUAAUUUUCUCUGCUGGCUCAACCAAUUGCUAAUUUCUUUGAGGAAGAGGAUUAGCCCUGAAAGAAUAGCUAGCCAUGAUCCCACCCUUUGAAAUAUGGCCAACGAAAUACCUAUAAAUAGAGAUAAAUGGUAGAGUGAAGCCCAUAAUUAUUUUUCCAAUAAGCAAGUACAGACAGAAUGAGCAAUCCCAUUAAUUCACGGAGCCUAAAUACUUACUCCACUCAUAAAAUAUUACAUAUAAAGAUGGUAAUCACGACCUGAUCCAUCAUCACACAAUUAUUUGUAGGAAUUUCAUAUUGUAAUCUUAUCGAUGAAGGACUUGCUGUCUAGUCCCUUGCUAUAGAAGUUGUCGUUGUAUUCUUUCUGUGUAAAGUUGCUAUAAAUUGCAGGUUUUUCAGGAGACAGCAACUCUGGUAGAGGUCCAUAAGAGUUAGAGUCUUUCCAUUUCGCUAAGUUGAAGAACAUCACAAUCGAGAUCCGUGGCUCUUUACAGGAAUUGGCUAACACUCGAUGCUGAACACUUUUGUACUCACCAUUCGACACUAUCUGCCAUACAAGUAACAAGUCAAAAAAGUACCUUGAAAAUUUUUUUGAACAAAUAUGAGCAUUGAGUUACCUGGAGAAAGUCUCCGACGUUGAUAAUCAACCCGCCAGGAACAGGCUUUACGUCCACCCAUUCAUCCCCAUGCUUCACCUGCAACCCGGGGACUUGGUUCUGCAACAAAACUGUCAACACCACCGGAUCAGUGUGAGAUAUAAUCCCCAUCGUCAAAUCAGGCUGUGGACAGUAGGGAUAACAGUGCCCCACCAAAACCCUAGUAUCAGAAAAAGUCAACUCCUUAAACUUGCCGGAUUCUAACCCUAAUCCUUCGCAUAACAGUUUCAUCACACUCUCAGCAACCGUUUUGGCACGCGUGUCCCAUGCAACCACCUCCCUUCUGCAUAUCUCCGGAAUCUGCUCAACCUCGAGCGGCUGUGGUGCCAUCCACACCUGAAGAGAGUCGUGCCAGCUCGCGGCCUCCGAUCGGUACAAAUCGUUGUUGCUGGCGUACAUCACGCCGCGUCCCUCCUCACGCACGUAGUGCUUCGCCUUCACUUGCUGUGGCUGCUCGUGGAAAGACUUGAUAGCGUUGAUCGUCUCCUCCAAUGCGGACACGGCUACACCAUGGUUGAUCACUUGAAAGAAACCCCAUGUCUUAGAGGCUUCUCGAAUUUGGUCCACGAUCUUCGGACGGUGAUGGGGAGAGUCCAAGUUGGAAAGAUCUAUCAUAGGGAUUCCGGGGGAGGAGGAAGAGGAAGAAGAUUUGAGUUGGGAGAGGGUUUGGGGUGGGUGUAUGAAGAAACGAGGGAUGGAAGUGAUGCCGGAGUCGGAGAGACCUUUGACGCCCAUCUUGGACUCAUCGAACUCCUUCACCUCCUUCAUUCGGUCGUAAUCCGCGGACGCCAUAUUCAUCCGUUUCUAUCUGCUGCCAAGUUCUUGUUCGUGACUGAAUAUACCUUGCUCACUUACAGUGAUUUAUAAUUGUGAAUGUUUAUCUACCCUCAUCUUCCAAUAUUAAAUAAAAUUUACAACCACCUUACCCAACCAUUAUCAUAUCAUUUGAGCAGAGAUAAAUCACUAUGAUCAAACUCAACCAAUCAGGCUGAGUCUCCACAAAGAUAUAUUUAUAUAUCUUUGUGGCCCCCAAUUCUGACUGUUUGCAAUGAUCGGAUCACUCGAAAUGAAAAACUACCAUUCCUAUCCACACUAAGAAGUCCGUGUUGCAGGUGCGUUCAACCACUGGACAAGGUCCUCCACGCUCUCUAACUACUCACAAAACCACGAGUUUCAAUUCUUAAAUGGGGCUGUUUUAGUGAAAAUUACUCCAAAGCAAGUGGCCAUUGAUAAUCAUAUUGACGUCAUUUCAGUUUUCUUUUCUAUAUUAUAUUGAUAUUUGACAACGUCUACUGGACCGUGAAACUAGGCUACACCCAACCGAGCCCAAUCCUCGUUUGAAAAGCCUUGUACAUUUAUUUUCAAUUAUUCUCUCAACUUGAGUCUAUCAACUUCUAAUGAGUUUUUUUAACUCAAAUUAGAGUUCAGGUUCAAUAUAAUGUUUCUAUAAUAUGCGCUCCCCUAUUAUAUGAUAGGUUUGUUCUUUUUUUCAUAUAUAGAAAAAUAUAUAAAUUUAUUUUUGUUGCAUUUUGUCCUAUUUACUAUUUAAAUUAUUAUAUGAAUAUAUAGAAAAAUAUUAUGACAAAAAUAUUGUUACAACAAAUGUGAGAUUUAAUAAAAAAAUUCUUCUAUCUACAACUAAAAUUUCGUACUCUACAAAAUAGAGAUUUUAUCAUAAAAUUUUUUUUAUUAAGUUUUUCUUUAAAAAACUGAAAUUUGUCUCUAGAAAUUGCUACUCUCAUCGUAUGGUGAGGAAUUCUUUUAUGUAGACAAAAUGUACAUAUAUUAAAUGUGAGAUUUAAUAUAGAAAAAUAUUCUGACAAAAAUAUAGUUACAACAAAUGUGAGAUUUAAUAAAAAAAUUCUUUUACCUGCAACUAAAAUUUCGUCAUUAAUUAUGAAUUUUACUCUACGAAAUAGAGAUUUUAUCAUAAAAUUUUUGUUAUUAAGUUUUUCUUUAUAAAACUGAAAUUUGUCUCUCAUCGUAUGGUGAGAAAUUCUUUUAUGUAAACAAAAUGUACAUAUUUAUGAGAAAUUUAUUUGUCACUGAUUUUCAAUGUCUAAUGAUAAAUUUUUUUGUCAUUGAAUCUUCAAUCAUUUGAGGACGAUCCAUUACAUGCAUUACAAUUUAUAAUUAGAAAAAGGGAAAGAAAGAAAGAAGAAAACCCGGAACUUUUUUAUUUUGGAUCUGGGCCUCCUCGAUCUUAGUUCAUUUGAGGACGAUGCAUAGUCCAUGCAUUCAGCUUCUUAAUGGUGACAGCCUCUGUUCCAUUGUUGAAUGCAUAUAGAUGAGCCUUCUUCGAGACUGCUAGAGUAGGAUAAACCCUAGAUGUGAUGCAUGUUUUUCCUCCAGCCCCGAAACUUUCCACUACAGAAUGGUCGAUCUGUGUACAGAAAAAGAGUUAUACUAGAAUAAAAAUGUCGUGAGUGACAAUAGAGAUGGUUUAGACUAUAAGAAUCAAAACACGUACCAAACUUCUAAGGGAGAGCAUCCCAUCUUUUAAAUCUACAUCCACAAAACCUGCGAAUGAUGGUUUGUAUAGUUCUGUCCGUAACGAGGAACUGUUCAAAGAAGCAAAUUAAGGAAAACCUAGUUAGAAGGUUGAUGGAGAUUAAGCAUUAACGUAAUGAACUGUACUGAGACUGAAAUGGAUAAACCCACCUUUUCGCAUCAGAGCACAUAAGGACUACAUGCUUGCCUUUGGCCUUGAAGAUUCUGAAGAAGACAGGAGUGUACUCUUCAAGGUGUUCUGAAGCCAAUGUCAACAGUCCAAAGGGUCCAACCCCACCUUGAACAGUUGAACCCUUCAUGCCGCAGAGAUCUUGUGCGUUAACCCAGCUAGGAUCGAAUUCUUCAGCCUUGUCCAAGCUCGGCAAAGAGAAUGUAACUUCAACAUCGGCCUGCAAAUAGUAUUUGGAAUUUACCAUUAACUGCAAUCUUUUUUCCAGAAAUGAACUUCCCCAAGAAGUAAAAGGGCUAAAAUUUCUUGUGCUUCAAACAGAAGACUGGGAAGACAAACCUGUGCGGCUGUAAUUCCUGUGAUUUCAACAUUUUCCCCAAUCUUGAGCUCUUGAUUCCUCACCUGAAUCUUUUGCCCUCUUAGUGUAUUUAGUUCUUCAAUGGGCCAUUGUAACAAUUGUUUUUUACCCUUGUCAAGCCAUAGGGUCCUUGGAAUUGUCUGAGCCAGCAAAAGUUCAACAACGUAAGUUCCUAAUCAACUAAUGGAAUGUCCUAAAAACAUUGACAAUCGAUCGUUCAUAAAUAUUACCUGAAUUCCAGCCCAUCCUUUUGCAGUAUCAUUGUCUGCUGUAUCUGACUCAUUAGCCCAACCCCACAAAAUCCUCCGUUUCUGCUCGGCAUCAAAGAACGUUUUCGAAGCAUAAAAAUUGCCAUAAUCAUACCUCAACCCACUCCAACCAUCAGCAGAGGUGUUGCCCGGUAUAUACCUAUCUAUUUCCGGAUAAUAUCUUCCAAUUGUAUAGUACUCAUAUCUAGUUCGGUCAAGGCUCACCUUCAAAACAUGUCUAACAUUUUUACCCGUUACUGAUGUGUCUAACCCCCUUUCACUAUACAAAGAAACAGGAAAAAAAUCAGGACAUUCCCACAUUCCGGUAUUCUGGGCAGAAUGAAGAGGAUGUUUUGAUUUUAUCCAUGUCAUGAAAUCUCUACUCCUAUACAAAUAGACUAUCCCUCUAUGCUUCUUUCUGGCACCCACCAACAUCCUCCAAUGCCCAUUCACCCGCCAAGCAGUUGUUGGGUCACGGAAUGUGCUUGCAUUCAUGCCAACAUCAGGAACCACUAGUGGGUUGCUGUCGGGUUUCACCCAUUUCCUUAGGUAUGGAUCCGAGAGGUUGGCUGGAAAUGCAAUGUUCUGGACUUGCCUUUGUUGUGUGUCGAUUCCAGUGUAGAGAAUUGCAGGCUUGUUACCAGGCAAGAUGGUGGCUGAACCAGACCAACAUCCGUUUAUGUCAAACGGCUUUGAAGGAUAGAUGGCUGGCUCAAGCGCCUCCCAGUCUAUCAGAUUCCUUGAUACUGAGUGAGCCCACACGAUGUUACCCCAAACUGCACCUUUGGGAUUGUACUGGUAGAAAAGGUGGUAGAUUCCAUUGUAGUACAUGGGUCCUGUUACAUUUGAAUUGCAUGAGACACAUGGACUUGAGGAAAUAGAGGUAGAUCAAAGUAGCACAAGACUCACCAUUUGGAUCUGUUGUCGGUUCAUUUCGUUCAUGGGUUCAAACGUCAAUGGAGACAGAAAAAUAGAAGUCAGUAACCGGUUGUGGAAAGUAGAAACCAUUAAAGAAAGAAAGAAAGAAAGAAAGAUGGAGGCACUCUCAUCUCUAAAAUCUCGACUAUUAAAGAAAGCCACAUCAUCUUUUAACAUCUCAAUCACCGAAAAUCAUUCAAUUUGGCUAAUAAGGAAAAAAUAGCCAUGAGUUAUCAGUGUCUCAUGAAUAAUUCAAAUCCCUUCCUAUAUCCAAAUUAAAUCAACUUUCUUUCUUUUCUAAUACUUUAUUUCUUUUUUCUUCUUCAAUGGAUAUGGCAUCGCUAUUUCUAAAAAUAACGAUAACCAUUUU
RNAcentral lists this long non-coding RNA (18489 nucleotides) under Vitis vinifera (wine grape). RNAcentral's name for it is "long non-coding RNA (VVIN_LNC002606)". The record is from RNAcentral. Lineage: Eukaryota; Viridiplantae; Streptophyta; Magnoliopsida; Vitales; Vitaceae.